AAAGAUAAAUAUUAAUAAUAGUAAUGUUUGAAUAAUUUUAUAUUAAUUAAAGUAAUUUUAUGAAAGAUAAUUUUAGUAUAUUUUAUUGAAAUAAUAAUUAGAUUUAUAGUGUAAUAGUAUUGUGAAAGAAUUUUGAAAUAGUUGAAAAUUAUUUUUUUAAAAAGUAAAUUAAUAAUUGUACCUUGGGUAUCAGGGUUUAUUAAAAAUUUUAUAUAGAAUAUAUAUUUCUCGAGUUAAAAAGAGCUAAUAUAAUAUGUAAUUUAAUGUGAUAUAUUUAUUAAUAAUAUUAUAUUGGUAAUGAAAUGUUAAUCGUUUUUUAAGAUAUCUAGUUUUCUAAGAGAUGAAUUUAAUUCAGUUUAAUUUUAGUAAUUAUUUAUUUUUUUUUGAAAUAAUUAUUAUUUUUAGAUAAUAAUUUGGGGGAUAAGCUCUUAAUUAUAAACUAUAAUUUUGUAAUUAUAUAUGUUUAAGAUUGUAGACUUUAAAUUAGUCAUCAAUUUAAUAAUGUUAUAAAUUAUUUUGUGAUAAUAUGAUUUUAUAAUAAUUUUAGUUUGUGAAUUGGAAUAAUUUAAUAAAUAAGGAAUUAUUUGAAAUAAUGAUGAAAUUAGUAUAUUAUAAUGUUAAUUAAUUUUAUAAAUUUAAUUUAUAUUAAGGAACUAGGCAAUAAUAGUAUUCGCCUGUUUAACAAAAACAUGUCUUUUAGUGGAUAAUUUAAAGUCGGGCCUGCCCACUGAUUAAUUGAAGGGCCGCGGUAUUUUGACCGUGCAAAGGUAGCAUAAUCAUUAGUUUUUUAAUUGAAGGCUGGAAUGAAUGGUUUGACGAAAUACUAACUGUCUCAAUAUAAUAAAUAAAAUUUAACUUUUGAGUUAAAAGGCUUAAAUUUUAAUAGAGGACGAGAAGACCCUAUAGAGCUUUAUAUAUUAUAUAAGUGUUUAUUGUAGUCUAUUUAUAAUAUUUGUAAAAAUGUAUUGUGUUGGGGUGACAUGAAGAUUUAUAUAACUCUUUAUUAUAAUUACAUUGAUUUAUGAAUAAUUGAUCCAUUAUUAUUGAUUUUAAGAUAAAGUUACCUUAGGGAUAACAGCGUAAUUUUUUUUAAGAGUUCAUAUCAACAAAAAAGAUUGCGACCUCGAUGUUGGAUUAAGGAAUAUAAUUGGGUGUAGAAGUUCAAUUUAUAGGUCUGUUCGACCUUUAAAUCCUUACAUGAUCUGAGUUCAAACCGGUGUAAGCCAGGUUGGUUUCUAUCCUUAUUGAAUGAAAUAUUUUAGUACGAAAGGACCAAAUAUUUGAAAUAAUUUUAAUUUAAUGAUUAUUAUU
Molecule: ribosomal RNA, 1311 nt
Filed under: Decma fissa
Lineage: Eukaryota; Metazoa; Arthropoda; Insecta; Orthoptera; Tettigoniidae
Description: 16S ribosomal RNA
Rfam family: Archaeal large subunit ribosomal RNA (bases 594-1311)
Source: RNAcentral